AACGAACGCUGGCGGCAUGCCUAACACAUGCAAGUCGAACGAGACCUUCGGGUCUAGUGGCGCACGGGUGCGUAACGCGUGGGAACCUGCCCUUAGGUUCGGAAUAACUCCCCGAAAGGGGUGCUAAUACCGGAUAAUGUCUUCGGACCAAAGAUUUAUCGCCUUUGGAUGAGCCCGCGUUGGAUUAGCUAGUUGGUAGGGUAAAAGCCUACCAAGGCGACGAUCCAUAGCUGGUCUGAGAGGAUGAUCAGCCACACUGGGACUGAGACACGGCCCAGACUCCUACGGGAGGCAGCAGUGGGGAAUAUUGGACAAUGGGCGAAAGCCUGAUCCAGCAAUGCCGCGUGAGUGAUGAAGGCCUUAGGGUUGUAAGGCUCUUUUACCCGGGAUGAUAAUGACAGUACCGGGAGAAUAAGCUCCGGCUAACUCCGUG
This 433-nucleotide ribosomal RNA is filed under the name uncultured bacterium. Its description in RNAcentral is "partial 16S ribosomal RNA". It matches the Rfam family "Bacterial small subunit ribosomal RNA", at positions 29 to 507 of the family's 1533-position model. The record is from RNAcentral.